This 253-nucleotide ribosomal RNA is filed under the name uncultured bacterium. RNAcentral describes it as "partial 16S ribosomal RNA". It matches the Rfam family "Bacterial small subunit ribosomal RNA", at positions 524 to 776 of the family's 1533-position model. The record is from RNAcentral.
UACGUAGGGUGCGAGCGUUAAUCGGAAUUACUGGGCGUAAAGCGUGCGCAGGCGGUUUUGUAAGAUAGGCGUGAAAUCCCCGGGCUUAACCUGGGAACUGCGUUUAUGACUGCAAGGCUAGAGUACGGCAGAGGGGGGUGGAAUUCCACGUGUAGCAGUGAAAUGCGUAGAGAUGUGGAGGAACACCAAUGGCGAAGGCAGCCCCCUGGGUCGAUACUGACGCUCAUGCACGAAAGCGUGGGUAGCAAACAGG